Molecule: long non-coding RNA, 509 nt
Organism: Drosophila yakuba
Lineage: Eukaryota; Metazoa; Arthropoda; Insecta; Diptera; Drosophilidae
Exons: 2
Source: RefSeq, a predicted model, not a curated record
AUUUAUUACCAAUAGAUGAUAGGGUAAAUUAAAGCUGAAAGAGGCAGAUAUUGUCCUUAUGGCAGUUUUUGUGCCUUCAAACUUCAAACUAAGCAUAAAGUGUUUCCUAAUGGGUUUUGAGUGUUUUCGACGACUACAACUAUGCCAAUAGCAACAAGGAGAACAUCCGAUGGGCGAGGGGAGGGAAAAGGACGCGGAGUGGAAGCAGGAUCAACACUGCAUUGCAUGGCAUGCAUUUUUUGCUAGCUGCUUUCCAAAAGUUGGUCAUUAGCGUUGUUUUCCAGCACUGUUGUUGCUGCUGUUGCUGCGGGGCAGAAAGCGGAAAACUCCCUGAGGUCAAGGAUAAGCGCUGAGCUAGCUUUUGUUGCCAGAAGUUGUUGCAUAUUUUCGAAUAUUUAUCGAAAAGUGAUUUUCCUUUUCCCCAAGAGAAUAAUGAAGGAAGUCUAUGGCAUGUUCCUGGACGUAAUAUUUCCAGAGUUGAAUAAAAUCUAAUUAGCAAGCAGUUUGUA